This is an RNA transcript of Photinus pyralis (common eastern firefly), 3095 nucleotides long. RefSeq lists it as uncharacterized. NCBI's taxonomy places the organism in Eukaryota, Metazoa, Arthropoda, Insecta, Coleoptera, Lampyridae. The record is from RefSeq and is a predicted model, not a curated record. The transcript has 7 exons.
GUUACCUCAAAACCUGUAACGCAUUUAAACAAAUACCUAUAUCAAUGAGGUAAAGGAAAUAGUUCAUUAACUUUGUUCUAAGCAAAGGUCUAGUUACAAAUUUAACUAUUUUUUGGCGAACACAAAGGGUAAGGUAAUCCUUUACGACGCACAGCACGUUGAUUUUAAUUAGUUAUUGCUAGUAAGUGUGCAAUAUCGAUGGAACUGCUAAUGAACACAGUACUUCAUGGUAAUUUCUUUUCAUUUAUGAUUUAUUAAUUGAAUUGAAUACAGAAUAAUUUAAUUCACGGAAUUUGGAAGUGGUCUAAGUAGGACAUGGCUUGAGGACACGACUUAAUUGUUAAGAUAUAGGCGAGCAGCAAACCGCAUAUUUACCUGGACUCGCCAUCUUAUUAAGAUUGAAAUUGGAGCGUGUCACGUGACGGAUGGGUUUCUACAUUACCGACUAGGGAAAUUCUACCUACACUAACCAUGCAAAUCUACUUCUUAAUACCAACAUUAUUACCUACUCGAAGUUUAUACGUGGAGAUUUCGAUAUUGUUAGUUUGUCGCAUCAAGUGACUCGUACUGAAAUUAUUGAUAUCAAAACUUAAGGGAAAGCAAUAAAUCAAAUAACUUUAAAAAAGCAAAAGCAAAAUUUUGAUCCACAACGGGUUGUUCGUGCAAAUCGGGGAUAUAUAAAAGCAUAAACGUAAAGAAAAUUACUUUACAAAGUACACAUAACUAAAUUCCUGUAUAAAAGUAAUUUGAAGAGUUGAAACGUAACCAGGGUACAUGAAUGAAUCUUCGUAACGACAAAAGUAACGUAGAUAAAAUCGACGUGUUGAAAGGCGUAUUCUUCGGAACGACAAAAACGAAUGUACGUAAAAUCAGACGUAUCGAAACAAUUCCCAAGAGAUCUUCAAAAGGUAUCGUAAUACUUGCAGUUAGAAAUCAGGAACAAUAAAUCAGGGUUAAAUAAUCGGUAUGCGGGUCACUGGAACAAAUCAAGUAAUGUCGCCGAUCUUAAAAUAGUGGGUCCAUUGUAAAGCGCAAUGUCAUCCAAGUUCUGCGUAAUUUCAAAAGCAUAGAUGUGGGUAGUAAUAACGAACUAAAAUGAAGAAUUUCUAUCAAUCCGGUGUAUUUGGCCCUCGAUUUGGCCAAAACAUGGCGUAUCUCCCAACUACCAAUAGAAAAUAACACCACCCUAUGACCACACUGUCGCUAUAGAGUCACUGUAUAGAAAAGUACAUUCCCAUGGCUUCUAGCGGGAAAAUAAAGAACUAUGAAAUAAAACUGUACCAAUAAAACUAACUACAUGAACUUAACCGAGAAAUACACGGAAUGUGUAAUGGGUAUUUACUUAAAGAAAUAUAAAUUUUAAAUGUUUAUGCAGAAAGGAAAGAAACCGUUACAGCUUGGUCUAGAAAUUUAGUACCCUUUUGGUAACGAAAAUACCAUUUAAAUGUGUACAUGUCACCUACCGGUUUAAAUCUUGCACUUUAGGGUUUAUAAAAGUUUGAUUCGCCGUUUAUACUAUUGAUCGUUUAUUGGGGGUAGGAAAAUGGACUACUAUUUAUAUUAUUUACUAUAGCUCAUUAGUUAUUGAAGGUACUCACUACGAUUAAGUUUAUAUUGCAUUGUGUAACUCAAUACCAAAUCGCCACCAUGAAGUACGCGAGUAGCAUUUUUGAACUUAUAGACGCUCUUUACCUUCCAUCUAAGGUUUUUGGAAUGGCACCUUACACCAGGGAUGUUGUGAACCAUAAACGCGCAUUUCGUUUUAAAAAGAACAAUUAUCUGUACAUUGGCUACAUACUUGUCAUCAUCGUGUUUAUGUUGGUAACCGUUCUGGCUCGUUUGGCGCUAGAAGACAAAGCGCCGUCCUUCCACGACGCAAUUAUUGGCACAUUAUUUGUAUUAUCGCAGGCAACUAAUAUGGCGAAACUCCUUGAGCUUUUUGUUCAAACUAAGGUGUUUCUAAAAACUUUGGAUUUAAUAAACCAUGCAGAUGAGCUACUAAAAGAUGUCGGCUUACAAGCGUCUUAUAAAAGCUUCCACAUCACUCUUCUCUUGCUUUACCUAACGUUUCCGUUUUAUCUUUUCUUUCUAGUAGCACCUAUCUGGGAAAUUGUGGGCUCAGUUCAAGCCACUGGAUUUUUCUCAAGGGAAACUCAGAAGCACAUAAUGCUAAUGUGUAAUGUUGCCAUACUCUUCGGUGUGCGGUUCACAUCUGUUUACUUAUACAACGCUUUCAUAUUCAUCUCGAUACAACGUUUGCAGCAGAUGAAUCGAUGUAUUAGGGAAGUGGAGAUAACGGCAACGUUCCAUCGUGAAACAUCCGAUAGGCUGUUGUCAACCGCUGCCCAAAUGCAUUACACCGUUCACAAGUUAACGUAUAACUUUAACAAGUGCUUUGGAUGGGCCACGUUUGGAUCAAUUACUAUGGCCUUCGUGGAAAUUGUCGUUUCGGUUAUGUCAUCGGGUUUGGCAUACUUUGGAUCUUGGAAGGUUCAUCUAACCACGGCGCUUUUUAAUGUAACCGCUUUAAUUACCCUUCCGUUGGGUCAGAAAAUUAAAACCGAGAGUCACACCAUGGGAAGACUUCUGUGCGAUCUCACACUUCCAUACUUUGACGAGGUCUUACGCAAGAAGUUUCUUUUGAUUACUCGAUCAUCGAGUUCUUCAACCAUACAAUUCUUGAAAAGCUAUUCCUGUUUCUAGAGAUGCACCUUAUUAUACCAAAUGCUUCACGAACCUCUUGACUUAAGUGCUGCUGGAUUUUAUGCGCUAGAUGUUAAAGCGAUCUUGGCGCAUUUGGAACUCACUUGCUCAUUGUUAAUGUUUCUACUGAACAUACAACAAGUAAUAAAAUAAUGCUUUGAGAGCACGUGGAGCACCUAUUCGUCAAUGUAUGGAUAAUCCGCAUAGUAUUACGAAGUUGAAAUUGAUUUGGAAGCACUACAAAUUAUUCUCGUCACAGCUUCUAAUCUGCACUGGAAAAACUAAUACUGUACUACUACUACUGCACUAAUACAAGUAUGCACACAGAAAUAUAGUGUUGUUAUUGCAUGAUAAUGGCAUUUAUAUAUAAAAAAGGAUACUUAAUGUUGUUU